UUAGUAAAAUUGUUUACUCAGUUUGAAACCUUUUAUUUUCGUGACCCUAUUUAAUUAAUUACUUUUCUAAAGAAAAUCUUAGAAAAUUCAUAUCUUUUUCGUUAUAGCUCCGAUUUUCGUGAUCUUUACAUCUGUGUGAUCGGAGUGCGAUGUAGAUUUGUUUUAUAAACUUUUUAUCUUUAUUUGCUACUGUUGGUGUAUUGUUCUAAUUAUAGUUUUGUUUUGCUUUGUGUGAUUGCCUCUCGAUGAUUGUUGUUGAUGUGAUGACUGAGUUUAGUCGGUGAGCUUUUACGUGGUGUUCAAGAAGCAGAUUGUGGAAGGUUUGGAACCAAAAGAAGGAUCUGAGUUUCAAGGCAAGUAUAGCAUGGAAUCAUCCUUGUUUCCUAAUAACUUUAAUCACUUAAUACAUAUUGCAUGUGUCUCCUUGAUAAGGAUUUCCUAGUAUUGAUCUUAUACCUUGUCAC
This 464-nucleotide long non-coding RNA is filed under the name Sorghum bicolor (sorghum). RNAcentral describes it as "long non-coding RNA (SBIC_LNC001057)". The record is from RNAcentral. Lineage: Eukaryota; Viridiplantae; Streptophyta; Magnoliopsida; Poales; Poaceae.